UUUCCUACGGGGCGCAGCAGUGGGGAAUAUUGCACAAUGGGGGAAACCCUGAUGCAGCGACGCCGCGUGAGUGAAGAAGUAUUUCGGUAUGUAAAGCUCUAUCAGCAGGGAAGAAAAUGACGGUACCUGACUAAGGAGCCCCGGCUAACUACGUGCCAGCAGCCGCGGUAAUACGUAGGGGGCUAGCGUUAUCCGGAAUUACUGGGCGUAAAGGGUGCGUAGGUGGUUUCUUAAGUCAGAGGUGAAAGGCUACGGCUCAACCGUAGUAAGCCUUUGAAACUGGGGGACUUGAGUGCAGGAGAGGG
This 305-nucleotide ribosomal RNA is filed under the name uncultured bacterium. RNAcentral's name for it is "bacterial SSU rRNA". It matches the Rfam family "Bacterial small subunit ribosomal RNA", at positions 335 to 658 of the family's 1533-position model. The record is from RNAcentral.